GUUGGGUAGGGGAGCGUUCUGUAAGCCUGUGAAGGUGGCCUGUGAGGGUUGCUGGAGGUAUCAGAAGUGCGAAUGCUGACAUAAGUAACGAUAAAGCGGGUGAAAAGCCCGCUCGCCGGAAGACCAAGGGUUCCUGUCCAACGUUAAUCGGGGCAGGGUGAGUCGACCCCUAAGGCGAGGCCGAAAGGCGUAGUCGAUGGGAAACGGGUUAAUAUUCCCGUACUUGGUGUUACUGCGAAGGGGGGACGGAGAAGGCUAUGUUGGCCGGGCGACGGUUGUCCCGGUUUAAGCGUGUAGGUGUGUGUUCCAGGUAAAUCCGGUUCACUUUAACACUGAGGCGUGAYGACGAGGCACUACGGUGCUGAAGCAACAAAUGCCCUGCUUCCAGGAAAAGCCUCUAAGCAUCAGGUAACAUCAAAUCGUACCCCAAACCGACACAGGUGGUCAGGUAGAGAAUACCAAGGCGCUUGAGAGAACUCGGGUGAAGGAACUAGGCAAAAUGGUGCCGUAACUUCGGGAGAAGGCACGCUGACACGUAGGUGAAGUGAUUUACUCACGGAGCUGAAGUCAGUCGAAGAUACCAGCUGGCUGCAACUGUUUAUUAAAAACACAGCACUGUGCAAACACGAAAGUGGACGUAUACGGUGUGACGCCUGCCCGGUGCCGGAAGGUUAAUUGAUGGGGUCAGCGCAAGCGAAGCUCCUGAUCGAAGCCCCGGUAAACGGCGGCCGUAACUAUAACGGUCCUAAGGUAGCGAAAUUCCUUGUCGGGUAAGUUCCGACCUGCACGAAUGGCGUAAUGAUGGCCAGGCUGUCUCCACCCGAGACUCAGUGAAAUUGAACUCGCUGUGAAGAUGCAGUGUACCCGCGGCAAGACGGAAAGACCCCGUGAACCUUUACUAUAGCUUGACACUGAACAUUGAGCCUUGAUGUGUAGGAUAGGUGGGAGGCUUUGAAGYGUGGACGCCAGUCUGCRUGGAGCCGACCUUGAAAUACCACCCUUUAAUGUUUGAUGUUCUAACGUGGACCCGUWAYCCGGGUUGCGGACAGUGUCUGGUGGGUAGUUUGACUGGGGCGGUCUCCUCCUAAAGAGUAACGGAGGAGCACGAAGGUUGGCUAAUCCUGGUCGGACAUCAGGAGGUUAGUGCAAUGGCAUAAGCCAGCUUGACUGCGAGCGUGACGGCGCGAGCAGGUGCGAAAGCAGGUCAUAGUGAUCCGGUGGUUCUGAAUGGAAGGGCCAUCGCUCAACGGAUAAAAGGUACUCCGGGGAUAACAGGCUGAUACCGCCCAAGAGUUCAUAUCGACGGCGGUGUUUGGCACCUCGAUGUCGGCUCAUCACAUCCUGGGGCUGAAGUAGGUCCCAAGGGUAUGGCUGUUCGCCAUUUAAAGUGGUACGCGAGCUGGGUUUAGAACGUCGUGAGACAGUUCGGUCCCUAUCUGCCGUGGGCGCUGGAGAACUGAGGGGGGCUGCUCCUAGUACGAGAGGACCGGAGUGGACGCAUCACUGGUGUUCGGGUUGUCAUGCCAAUGGCACUGCCCGGUAGCUAAAUGCGGAAGAGAUAAGUGCUGAAAGCAUCUAAGCACGAAACUUGCCCCGAGAUGAGUUCUCCCUGAGACUU
Molecule: ribosomal RNA, 1618 nt
Filed under: Salmonella enterica
Lineage: Bacteria; Pseudomonadati; Pseudomonadota; Gammaproteobacteria; Enterobacterales; Enterobacteriaceae
Description: partial 23S ribosomal RNA
Source: RNAcentral